This is a non-coding RNA of Cinara cedri, 212 nucleotides long. NCBI's taxonomy places the organism in Eukaryota, Metazoa, Arthropoda, Insecta, Hemiptera, Aphididae. The record is from the annotation of a GenBank genome assembly.
AAAACAAUAUGAAUACAGUAAUUACAGUUUCGCGUCGAGUUUAUUUUAUAUACUGUCGAGUGUCACGACGUAUAAUCGAAUCCGAUAUUAAAAUCGGUAGGAAAACGAAAUUUACGAAUGAUUGUUUAUCGAAGACAAACACCACUUAACAUACGGGUUAUUCACACUAGAUGUAUAGCGUUUCGAAUGUUCCGUGCUCGGUAUUUUUUUUU